This is a long non-coding RNA of Notolabrus celidotus (New Zealand spotty), 436 nucleotides long. RefSeq lists it as uncharacterized. The transcript has 2 exons. NCBI's taxonomy places the organism in Eukaryota, Metazoa, Chordata, Actinopteri, Labriformes, Labridae. The record is from RefSeq and is a predicted model, not a curated record.
AGAGGUAACACCUGUGCCAAUUAGCCCUGACACUGCUCCAACAAACCACUCCCUCCCUUCUCUCCCCUGCAGCUGAGCCUGCACCGUGCCCCACCUCCACCACAGUCAUCAAUAGAUAAGUGCAGUGGCUGGUGGAGGCGUAGUGUGUGGAGGUGUCUGCUCUAAUUACCUGCAGCUGUCGCUCAUCUGUGGUAACCAGUGGCUGCUCUAAAGAUCAAGCUCAUGCUCCAGUAAGCUGCCAGUUCAUGUCAGCUUCUCAGCAGUAUCACAGCUCUCUAGUGCUUGCAAGCUUUCAUGCAAGUGUGUCGUGUUUUUUGCUCAUCCUGCUUUCUAAGCACCUCCACUGCCACCCAGCAACGUCUGGAAGAACUCUGUUCACAAUAUUCCUAUCAGCUUACUUUGAUUUCUGUAAUAAAUCCCCUUUACAACCUUUCAA